Non-coding RNA from Streptomyces sp. NRRL F-6491, 502 nucleotides. NCBI's taxonomy places the organism in Bacteria, Bacillati, Actinomycetota, Actinomycetes, Kitasatosporales, Streptomycetaceae. The record is from Rfam.
GUGGCGGUGCGGUCCCAGCCGGCGUCGGCGUCGAGGAGGGCGCUCUCGCCGAAGUGGUCGCCGUCGGCGAGGACGGCGACGGGGUCCUCACCGCCGUACCUGCCGGCGGAGGUCUGGCCGAUCCGGCCGUGGGCGAUCAGGUGGAUCCCCUCGGCGGGCUCGCCGCGCCGGGUCAGCACCUCCCCGGCGCGGAAGUCGCGCUGGACGCAGCGGGCGGCGAGCGCGGUCAGCACCCGUUCGUCGUCGAAGCCGCGCAGCAGGGCCAGUUCGCCGAGUUCGCGCGGGACGACCCGGACGCGGGCGCCGUCCUGGACGAACUCCACGCCCCCGUCGCCGACGGUGUGGCUGAGCCGGCGGUUCACCCGGUAGGCGCCGCCCUUGGUCUCCACCCAGGGGAGCAUCCGCAGCAGCCAGCGGGAGGUGAUCUCCUGCAUCUGCGGGGCGGACUUGGCCGUGUGGGCGAGCCUGCGGGCGGCCGAGGUGCUCAGACUGGACUGCCUGG